Molecule: non-coding RNA, 605 nt
Organism: Drosophila melanogaster (fruit fly)
Lineage: Eukaryota; Metazoa; Arthropoda; Insecta; Diptera; Drosophilidae
Source: Ensembl
ACCAAAGUACAUAAUUAAAUAUUACAUCCAAAAUUCAAUUGUUCCUGUACAAGUGUACUAACUUUUUGGCGUUUCAUGAGCGGCUCGUGUGUACAAACAUUUAUUUAAAUGCUUACCCCCACCCCGUAGCCACUUCAGAUGAAGCUGGAGCUGGAGCCGAAUCUGAAGCUUGGAGCUUGAAGUUUGGAGCACGGUGGAGAAUUGCGCGUAAAUUCGUUGCGGUCUGCGCGUCAUCAACGUAAUCGCCGUCAACAGCAGUCAACAGCAUCAAACUGGCAGGCAAAUGUUGCUACUGUUUCCAGACGCAGUCCGUCCGGCCAACAGAAGCAAACGAAGCAACAGAAGCACCAACCGCCGCAGUGAAGUGGUUUUUUAUGAUCAGACGAGAUGAGCCGAGCCCAAAGCAGCACUUUCCAUCCGAGAAAGAAACCGAGGCUACAACAAAAGCGUGUCUUUCGAGUUCGCUAAUGGGAACUACAUAUAUGUAUGUACAUACAUAUGUACAUUCCGGGUACAAAGUGCAUUUUGUGGAAACCCUUUGGGCAGAAUGUAAACCAUUAACAAAUUGUAGCAGACCUAUGGCCUAUACAUUUCUUAUUUGUUUU